GAUGAACGCUAGCGGCAGGCUUAAUACAUGCAAGUUGAGGGGCAGCAUGAUAUACGUAAGUAUAUUGAUGGCGACCGGCGGACGGGUGAGUAAAAGGUAGGAGACCUACCUCAUACAGGGGGAUAGCAUAGAGAAAUCUGUGGUAAUACCCCAUGAGGUUAUAUGAAUAGAGGCAUAUAAUCAAAGUAUACGAGAGUAUGCGGUAUGAGAUGGGCCUACUGACCAUUAGCUAGUUGGUGAGGUAAGGGCUCACCAAGGCGAAGAUGGUUAGGGGUUUUGAGAGAGAGAUCCCCCACAUUGGAACUGAGAUACGGUCCAGACUCCUACGGGAGGCAGCAGUAGGGAAUAUUGGGCAAUGGGCGAAAGCCUGACCCAGCCAUGCCGCGUGAAGGAAGACGGCCUUAUGGGUUGUAAACUUCUUUACUAUACGAAUAGAGGUUAGUACGAGUUACUAAUAGGAAGGUAGUAUAGCAAAAAGCACCGGCUAACUCCGUGCC
RNAcentral lists this ribosomal RNA (497 nucleotides) under uncultured bacterium. RNAcentral describes it as "bacterial SSU rRNA". It matches the Rfam family "Bacterial small subunit ribosomal RNA", at positions 28 to 509 of the family's 1533-position model. The record is from RNAcentral.